UACUGGCAGAACAAGUGGUACCCACGAAUAUUGGGUCUAAAGAGUCCGUAGCGGGCCGGCUAAGUCCACUGUGAAAUCCAACAGCUCAACUGUUGGGCGUGCAGUGGAUACUGACUGGCUUGGGAGUGGGGGAGGUCGGGAGUACUUGCGGGGUAGUGGUAAAAUAUUGUAAUCCUGCAAGGACUACCAGUGGCGAAGGCGCCCGACCAAAACACGUCCGACCGUGAGGGACGAAGGCUAGGAGAACGAAUCG
This 253-nucleotide ribosomal RNA is filed under the name uncultured archaeon. Its description in RNAcentral is "partial 16S ribosomal RNA". It matches the Rfam family "Archaeal small subunit ribosomal RNA", at positions 474 to 726 of the family's 1478-position model. The record is from RNAcentral.